This is a long non-coding RNA of Oreochromis aureus, 1632 nucleotides long. The record is from Ensembl. Lineage: Eukaryota; Metazoa; Chordata; Actinopteri; Cichliformes; Cichlidae.
AAAAUUUCACCAUGUCUGAGGUGUAAGUGAGUGGUGAAGUCGUGUCAAAGUUUGUAUCUAUACUUUCCAAACUCUGCAUUGGGUUAGGGUUUUCCUCAUCGCCAUGGUCAUCUACAGAGCUUUCAUUCAGGAUGCUGUCCUUUGCUCCUGAAUCAUCUGUUUUCUCGGGGAAGUCUGCACCCACGGACUCGAGACAGAGCUCAGUCUGUGUGCAGGCCAGAUCUGCAUUUUCCAUGGUAUCCCAAGUUAAUCUCAUAUAUGUGUUACAAAAUUUCAGCAUGUCUGAGGUGUAGGUGAGUGGGGAAGUCAUGCUGAAGUUUGUUUCUGUACUUUUCAAACUCUCAAUUGGGGAAGAGGAAUUCAGUUGAUGGGUGGUUGGAGUUAAGGCAGACAUGUGUGCUCUUUGCAAACUGAAUGUGCUUAAAUUACAGUCGCUGUUCUGAUGCAUUAAUGCUCUCUGAACUAAACUGUACUAGAGUGCUUAAGGUCUAUUUAUGGACUUUAGCCACGCCCACUUUAAAGACCAUAAAAGGACUGCUCAUAGAUCAAAGCCUGACGUCAGACGGUGUUCCUUGUUCGAAGAAAACUCUGGUUAAAGUAAAAUGGCUAAAAUAUGUGUUCAGACUCGAAAGGGCACGCUGCAGCGUGACUCCUGUGAUCAGCCACACCCAAUCGGGUUGUUCCUUCUUUUUGAUGCUGGAGAGGGAGAAAUGCAAAUAGUCCUUGCGGAGCUGCUGCCUAAACGAGUGAAAAAAAUAUUAAAAACCAAGCCAGAAGUCUACAUAAAGCAAUCUUUGUACUUUGGAGAAUAUAUUUUUGUUUUUCCGAGCUGUCCUUGCCUUGGUGACGUUGUGAACGUAACCGAACGGGACUUGGCCAUUAAGGUUUGGAUCGGGAAAUGCCAAGCUAGAAUCGGAGUUUGAUCCGCUGAGCGAGAAACAAGAUGGCGAGCCACCCACGGACCCAUUGAACUGUACCGAGCAGGAAAAGGGAAAACCGCCCCUGCUGGAUGUUGAGUUCUUUCGCUAAAAGAAACUGGUAGGACUAAUCCAUACACCUCUGCAAAAGAACAGUGGACUUUCAAAGCACUGGACAAUCAUUCAGAGCAAUUCCAGGAUUUAUAGUUAAAGGACACAGAGACAAUUUUCUUUUGUUUAUUUGUUUGUUUAAGGGAUUUGUUCAGCCUUUUGCUGAAUUGUUUUCAGUUUUUACAUGUUUUUUUGUAAUUUAUUUUGGUCAACCUUACAUUUUAAUGCUGUAAUGGUGUUAAUGGAAAUGUAAAUAAUUUUGUUGGGUUAAAACAAAAUAAGAACUGGUUGAAAUUUAAAGGUGAACCUAGACCAAGAUUAAAUUAAAUCUUGGGCCUAAAGAACUAAAACUUGAUUUAAAAUAACACAGUGUUAAUUCAAAUAGAUUAAAGGAUAAACUUGAACUUAGGAUUUGGAAUAAAUAAAAUAACAUCCUUUUAAAGCCAAAUAAAAGGUUUUGAGAUAAAUAGGAUAAAUUAACAGAAAUUACUGAACUAAAAAAGGGGAAGAAAAUAUCUUGUUUUCCUUAAAUGUGUGAUGUUGAAUGUUUUAUGUAAUUGUGUGUUAACUGUCUAUUCUGUCUUCACAAAAUAAUAAGCCGGCA